RNAcentral lists this ribosomal RNA (515 nucleotides) under uncultured bacterium. Its description in RNAcentral is "partial 16S ribosomal RNA". It matches the Rfam family "Bacterial small subunit ribosomal RNA", at positions 28 to 523 of the family's 1533-position model. The record is from RNAcentral.
GACGAACGCUGGCGGCGUGCCUAAUACAUGCAAGUCGAGCGAAUGGAUUAAGAGCUUGCUCUUAUGAAGUUAGCGGCGGACGGGUGAGUAACACGUGGGUAACCUGCCCAUAAGACUGGGAUAACUCCGGGAAACCGGGGCUAAUACCGGAUAACAUUUUGAACCGCAUGGUUCGAAAUUGAAAGGCGGCUUCGGCUGUCACUUAUGGAUGGACCCGCGUCGCAUUAGCUAGUUGGUGAGGUAACGGCUCACCAAGGCAACGCUGCGUAGCCGAACUGAGAGGGUGAUCGGACACACUGGGACUAAGCAACGGCCCAGACUCAUACGGGAGGCAGCAGUAGGGAAUCUUGCGCAAUGGACGAAAGUCUGACGGAGCAACGCCGCGUGAGUGAUGAAGGCUUUCGUGUCGUAAAACUCUGUUGUUAGGGAAGAACAAGUGCUAGUUGAAUAAGCUGGCACCUUGACGGUACCUAACCAGAAAGCCACGGCUAACUACGUGCCAGCCGCCGCGGUAA